This 434-nucleotide ribosomal RNA is filed under the name uncultured bacterium. RNAcentral describes it as "partial 16S ribosomal RNA". It matches the Rfam family "Bacterial small subunit ribosomal RNA", at positions 29 to 507 of the family's 1533-position model. The record is from RNAcentral.
AGCGAACGCUGGCGGCAGGCCUAACACAUGCAAGUCGAACGAACCUUUCGGGGUUAGUGGCGGACGGGUGAGUAACACGUGGGAACGUGCCUUUAAGUUCGGAAUAACUCAGGGAAACUUGUGCUAAUACCGAAUGUGCCCUUCGGGGGAAAGAUUUAUCGCCUUUAGAGCGGCCCGCGUCUGAUUAGCUAGUUGGUUGAGGUAAUGGCUCACCAAGGCGACGAUCAGUAGCUGGUCUGAGAGGAUGAUCAGCCACAUUGGGACUGAGACACGGCCCAAACUCCUACGGGAGGCAGCAGUGAGGAAUCUUGCGCAAUGGGCGAAAGCCUGACGCAGCCAUGCCGCGUGAAUGAUGAAGGUCUUAGGAUUGUAAAAUUCUUUCACCGGGGACGAUAAUGACGGUACCCGGAGAAGAAGCCCCGGCUAACUUCGUG